UACGUAGGGAGCAAGCGUUGUUCGGAUUUACUGGGCGUAAAGGGCGCGUAGGCGGCGCGGUAAGUCACUUGUGAAAUCUCUGAGCUUAACUCAGAACGGCCAAGUGAUACUGCAGUGCUAGAGUGCAGAAGGGGCAAUCGGAAUUCUUGGUGUAGCGGUGAAAUGCGUAGACAUCAAGAGGAACACCUGAGGUGAAGACGGGUUGCUAGGCUGACACUGACGCUGAGGCGCGAAAGCCAGGGGAGCAAACGGG
This 253-nucleotide ribosomal RNA is filed under the name uncultured bacterium. RNAcentral's name for it is "partial 16S ribosomal RNA". It matches the Rfam family "Bacterial small subunit ribosomal RNA", at positions 524 to 776 of the family's 1533-position model. The record is from RNAcentral.